RNAcentral lists this ribosomal RNA (514 nucleotides) under uncultured bacterium. RNAcentral describes it as "partial 16S ribosomal RNA". It matches the Rfam family "Bacterial small subunit ribosomal RNA", at positions 28 to 523 of the family's 1533-position model. The record is from RNAcentral.
GAUGAACGCUGGCGGCGUGCCUAAUACAUGCAAGUCGAGCGAACAGAUGAGAAGCUUGCUUCUCUGAUGUUAGCGGCGGACGGGUGAGUAACACGUGGGUAACCUACCUAUAAGACUGGGAUAACUCCGGGAAACCGGGGCUAAUACCGGAUAAUAUUUUGAACCGCAUGGUUCAAUAGUGAAAGACGGUUUCGACUGUCACGUAUAGAUGGACCCGCGCCGUAUUAGCUAGUUGGUAAGGUAACGGCUUACCAAGGCGACGAUACGUAGCCGACCUGAGAGGGUGAUCGGCCACACUGGAACUGAGACACGGUCCAGACUCCUACGGGAGGCAGCAGUAGGGAAUCUUCCGCAAUGGGCGAAAGCCUGACGGAGCAACGCCGCGUGAGUGAUGAAGGUCUUCGGAUCGUAAAACUCUGUUGUUAGGGAAGAACAAAUUUGUUAGUAACUGAACAAGUCUUGACGGUACCUAACCAGAAAGCCACGGCUAACUACGUGCCAGCAGCCGCAGUAA